RNAcentral lists this ribosomal RNA (467 nucleotides) under uncultured bacterium. RNAcentral's name for it is "partial 16S ribosomal RNA". It matches the Rfam family "Bacterial small subunit ribosomal RNA", at positions 28 to 506 of the family's 1533-position model. The record is from RNAcentral.
GACGAACGCUGGCGGCGUGCUUAACACAUGCAAGUCGAACGGAAAGGCCCUGCUUUUGUGGGGUGCUCGAGUGGCGAACGGGUGAGCAACACGUGAGUAACCUGCCCUUGACUUUGGGAUAACUUCAGGAAACUGGGGCUAAUACCGGAUAGGAGCUCCUGCUGCAUGGUGGGGGUUGGAAAGUUUCGGCGGUUGGGGACGGACUCGCGGCUUAUCAGCUUGUUGGUGGGGUAGUGGCUUACCAAGGCUUUGACGGGUAGCCGGCCUGAGAGGGUGACCGGCCACAUUGGGACUGAGAUACGGCCCAGACUCCUACGGGAGGCAGCAGUGGGGAAUAUUGCACAAUGGGCGGAAGCCUGAUGCAGCAACGCCGCGUGCGGGAUGACGGCCUUCGGGUUGUAAACCGCUUUCGCCUGUGACGAAGCGUGAGUGACGGUAAUGGGUAAAGAAGCACCGGCUAACUACGU